This 497-nucleotide ribosomal RNA is filed under the name uncultured bacterium. RNAcentral describes it as "partial 16S ribosomal RNA". It matches the Rfam family "Bacterial small subunit ribosomal RNA", at positions 28 to 507 of the family's 1533-position model. The record is from RNAcentral.
GAUGAACGCUGGCGGCGUGCCUAAUACAUGCAAGUCGAGCGAACGGACGAGAAGCUUGCUUUUCUGAUGUUAGCGGCGGACGGGUGAGUAACACGUGGAUAACCUACCUAUAAGACUGGGAUAACUUCGGGAAACCGGAGCUAAUACCGUAUAAUAUUUUGAACCGCAUGGUUCAAAAGUGAAAGACGGUCUUGCUGUCACUUAUAGCUGGAUCCGCGCUGCAUUAGCUAGUUGGUAAGGUAACGGCUUACCAAGGCAACGAUGCAUAGCCGACCUGAGAGGGUGAUCGGCCACAUUGGAACUGAGACACGGUCCAGACUCCUAUGGGAGGCAGCAGUAGGGAAUCUUCCGCAAUGGGCGAAAGCCUGACGGAGCAACGCCGCGUGAGUGAUGAAGGUCUUCGGAUCGUAAAACUCUGUUAUUAGGGAAGAACAUAUGUGUAAGUAACUGUGCACAUCUUGACGGUACCUAAUCAGAAAGCCACGGCUAACUACGUG